UACGUAGGGUGCAAGCGUUGUCCGGAAUUAUUGGGCGUAAAGAGCUCGUAGGCGGUCUGUCGCGUCUGCUGUGAAAACCCAGGGCUUAACCCUGAGCUUGCAGUGGGUACGGGCAGACUAGAGUGCGGUAGGGGAGACUGGAAUUCCUGGUGUAGCGGUGAAAUGCGCAGAUAUCAGGAGGAACACCGGUGGCGAAGGCGGGUCUCUGGGCCGUAACUGACGCUGAGGAGCGAAAGCAUGGGGAGCGAACAGG
This 253-nucleotide ribosomal RNA is filed under the name uncultured bacterium. Its description in RNAcentral is "partial 16S ribosomal RNA". It matches the Rfam family "Bacterial small subunit ribosomal RNA", at positions 524 to 776 of the family's 1533-position model. The record is from RNAcentral.